UACGGAGGAUGCGAGCGUUAUCCGGAUUUAUUGGGUUUAAAGGGUGCGUAGGCGGGCUUUUAAGUCAGCGGUAAAAAUUUGGGGCUCACCCCCGUCCGGCCGUUGAAACUGGGGGCCUUGAGUGGGCGAGAAGAAGGCGGAAUGCGUGGUGUAGCGGUGAAAUGCAUAGAUAUCACGCAGAACCCCGAUUGCGAAGGCAGCCUUCCGGCGCCCUACUGACGCUGAGGCACGAAAGUGCGGGGAUCGAACAGG
Molecule: ribosomal RNA, 252 nt
Filed under: uncultured bacterium
Lineage: Bacteria
Description: partial 16S ribosomal RNA
Rfam family: Bacterial small subunit ribosomal RNA
Source: RNAcentral